GGCUGGUCCAAGUGCAGUGGUGUUUACAAUGAAUAGAUCACAACCAGUUACAUAUCUCUUUGUUUCUUCUCCAUUCCCACUGCUUCACUUGACUAGCCUUUA
This is a Y RNA of Pongo abelii (Sumatran orangutan), 102 nucleotides long. It matches the Rfam family "Y RNA". Rfam says of the family: Y RNAs are components of the Ro ribonucleoprotein particle (Ro RNP), in association with Ro60 and La proteins. The Y RNAs and Ro60 and La proteins are well conserved, but the function of the Ro RNP is not known. In humans the RNA component can be one of four small RNAs -- hY1, hY3, hY4 and hY5. NCBI's taxonomy places the organism in Eukaryota, Metazoa, Chordata, Mammalia, Primates, Hominidae. The record is from Ensembl.